RNAcentral lists this ribosomal RNA (305 nucleotides) under uncultured bacterium. RNAcentral's name for it is "bacterial SSU rRNA". It matches the Rfam family "Bacterial small subunit ribosomal RNA", at positions 333 to 654 of the family's 1533-position model. The record is from RNAcentral.
UGGUGCCUACGGGACGCAGCAGUGGGGAAUAUUGCACAAUGUUUGGAACCCUGAUGCAGCGACGCCGCGUGAGUGAAGAAGUAUUUCGGUAUGUAAAGCUCUGUCAGCAGGGAAGAAGAAAGACGGUACCUGACCAAGAAGCCCCGGCUAACUACGUGCCAGCAGCCGCGGUAAUACGUAGGGGGCAAGCGUUAUCCGGAUUUACUGGGUGUAAAGGGAGCGUAGACGGCAGGGCAAGUCUGGAGUGAAAGGCAGGGGCCCAACCCCUGGACUGCUCUGGAAACUGUCCGGCUGGAGUGCAGGAG